This 574-nucleotide long non-coding RNA is filed under the name Gallus gallus (chicken). RNAcentral's name for it is "lncRNA (ENSGALG00010019616.1)". The record is from RNAcentral. Lineage: Eukaryota; Metazoa; Chordata; Aves; Galliformes; Phasianidae.
UCUCAUUUCUGCUUUGGCCAUGAAAUGUUUUCAUUCAUUUCUAUACCUGUUUGGGAAGAAAGCUUAUAGCUGUCCUUCAGUGCCUCAUGGCAUCAAUUCUUCUGCAGAAAGAGAGAGUUUAUGAGAGCAGAUACACAGAAGAUAAAUAGAGACCAUGUCCUUGUAAUGAUGGCAACUGUUAACGGAGUGGAAGAAGGUUCAUUCUGGUGUCCUCAGAGAACAAGAAGCCAACAGCUGGUUGGCUUCAUUCAGCACAAUGCAGAACACACUCAUCCGACCCUUACUAACAAAGAAGACUCUGAGUCAGCUGCUGCUGCUGUACUCUGAGCCAACGACUUCAGUGACCUCCCAGUGAUGAUUACAAGAAACCUUUUCUGAGUACUCAGCCUGUUCCACAUUCAAUGUCAUCUUUGUGCAAGAGGUAGUCCAGGUUCCCAUUCCAUGUAACAUAUCUGCCAACAGAAGAGAUCGUUUUCUGUCCAAGCACGAGUGAGUACUUGCUUCCGGAGCCAUGUUAACUGAGGAGGAAGGUUAAGUGCAUUAUGGACAGUGGAUUACGGAUGGCAAUGAUGGG